AUCACUUCUCAACCUUUUGACUAAGUUCAAGUGUAAUAUCUAUCUUUAUCAGUUUAAUAUCUGAGAUCUCCUUUAUCUGAGGACAAUAUAUUUAAUGGAUUUUUGGAACAGAGCGAAGGAAUAGGAGCUUGUUCUCUCCAUUCCAUGCAUUGACCUGGUAUUGCAGGACCUCCAGAAACACCAUCCCCUCC
Nomascus leucogenys (northern white-cheeked gibbon) is the source of this 191-nucleotide small nuclear RNA. Its record names the gene U2. It matches the Rfam family "U2 spliceosomal RNA". Rfam says of the family: U2 is a small nuclear RNA (snRNA) component of the spliceosome (involved in pre-mRNA splicing). Complementary binding between U2 snRNA (in an area lying towards the 5' end but 3' to hairpin I) and the branchpoint sequence (BPS) of the intron results the bulging out of an unpaired adenosine, on the BPS, which initiates a nucleophilic attack at the intronic 5' splice site, thus starting the first of two transesterification reactions that mediate splicing. NCBI's taxonomy places the organism in Eukaryota, Metazoa, Chordata, Mammalia, Primates, Hylobatidae. The record is from Ensembl.